Molecule: long non-coding RNA, 765 nt
Organism: Scleropages formosus (Asian bonytongue)
Lineage: Eukaryota; Metazoa; Chordata; Actinopteri; Osteoglossiformes; Osteoglossidae
Exons: 3
Source: RefSeq, a predicted model, not a curated record
GGAAGCGUGCGUCGGACAUGGUACACCUUGGAUGGGAUGCUAGCACUUCACAGAGCUGUCAAAAACAUUCAGUCGCUGACAAAUACACACACUGCAGAUUUAUGCAAACACCGCCGUGAGCGCCUCUCUCCUCCACACGCCAUUUGCAGCAGCAGCGGCCGUGUCCAGUCCGAGGGAUGAAUCCACUCCUGCUGCAAAAUGACAGAACCUUGUGUUUUCUGGCCUUCGCUGGGUGACUGAUAGGCCUGACGAGACAACGUCAACAGACCGACUUUCUCCAGCAAACCUCCUCCAAGACACAUCCUCCUGGUAGAUGGAGACAGCCACGUCCAAGAAUGAAACCCCAAAGUCAACAUGAGCGCAACACUUUCGACUGUUCAACCUCAGCCCAACUCUUCACCUUGGAAACACUAGCUGGAAUCGAACCAAAUCAUCUUUUGUGGUCUUCAUGGCGAUUUCAUAGUUUAUAUUCGCUUGAUUGAUACUGGAUUCACCCACAAGAAUGCUGUUUUAGAUAGUACAACCACAGAAAUGGUCCUCUAAGUCCUUGAGCUGAUUGUGUAGAUCUGAGAGCUGGAUGAACUGCAAUGAAACACAACAUUCGUUGUCCAAUCCACGGACGCAAGCCUGACCCUGACCGAGAACUAUAUGUAUCAGGUUCCAGAUUGAUUUUACUAGAUGCUGUGGAGAUUACAGACAGUAGCCACUCAGUCUAGACACCGUUUCUGUUGCUUCAGAGUCAGACAAAGGAGUGACGGGUAUUAG